RNAcentral lists this ribosomal RNA (253 nucleotides) under uncultured bacterium. RNAcentral describes it as "partial 16S ribosomal RNA". It matches the Rfam family "Bacterial small subunit ribosomal RNA", at positions 524 to 776 of the family's 1533-position model. The record is from RNAcentral.
UACAGAGGGUGCGAGCGUUAAUCGGAAUUACUGGGCGUAAAGCGCACGUAGGCGGCUUGGUAUGUCGGGUGUGAAAUCCUCGGGCUCAACCUGGGAACUGCAUCCGAAACUGCCUUGCUAGAGUAUGGGAGAGGGAAGUGGAAUUUCCGGUGUAGCGGUGAAAUGCGUAGAUAUCGGAAGGAACAUCAGUGGCGAAGGCGACUUCCUGGACCAAUACUGACGCUCAGGUGCGAAAGCGUGGGGAGCAAACAGG